Molecule: ribosomal RNA, 492 nt
Filed under: uncultured bacterium
Lineage: Bacteria
Description: partial 16S ribosomal RNA
Rfam family: Bacterial small subunit ribosomal RNA
Source: RNAcentral
AGUGAACGCUGGCGGUAGGCCUAACACAUGCAAGUCGAACGGCAGCACAGUAAGAGCUUGCUCUUACGGGUGGCGAGUGGCGGACGGGUGAGGAAUACAUCGGAAUCUACUUUCUCGUGGGGGAUAACGUAGGGAAACUUACGCUAAUACCGCAUACGACCUACGGGUGAAAGCAGGGGAUCUUCGGACCUUGCGCGAUUGAAUGAGCCGAUGUCGGAUUAGCUAGUUGGCGGGGUAAAGGCCCACCAAGGCGACGAUCCGUAGCUGGUCUGAGAGGAUGAUCAGCCACACUGGAACUGAGACACGGUCCAGACUCCUACGGGAGGCAGCAGUGGGGAAUAUUGGACAAUGGGCGCAAGCCUGAUCCAGCCAUACCGCGUGGGUGAAGAAGGCCUUCGGGUUGUAAAGCCCUUUUGUUGGGAAAGAAAAGCAGCAGGUUAAUACCCCGCUGUUCCGACGGUACCCAAAGAAUAAGCACCGGCUAACUUCGUG